UACGUAGGGUGCAAGCGUUUAAUCGGAAUUACUGGGCGUAAAGCGUGCGCAGGCGGUGAUGUAAGACAGUUGUGAAAUCCCCGGGCUCAACCUGGGAACUGCAUCUGUGACUGCAUCGCUGGAGUGCGGCAGAGGGGGAUGGAAUUCCGCGUGUAGCAGUGAAAUGCGUAGAUAUGCGGAGGAACACCGAUGGCGAAGGCAAUCCCCUGGGCCUGCACUGACGCUCAUGCACGAAAGCGUGGGGAGCAAACAGG
RNAcentral lists this ribosomal RNA (254 nucleotides) under uncultured bacterium. Its description in RNAcentral is "partial 16S ribosomal RNA". It matches the Rfam family "Bacterial small subunit ribosomal RNA", at positions 524 to 776 of the family's 1533-position model. The record is from RNAcentral.